Molecule: long non-coding RNA, 444 nt
Organism: Gymnodraco acuticeps
Lineage: Eukaryota; Metazoa; Chordata; Actinopteri; Perciformes; Bathydraconidae
Exons: 2
Source: RefSeq, a predicted model, not a curated record
UUAAAGCACGCUACCAUUUGGCAUGCCGCGUUCCUGAAGCAACCUCUCUUGGAAGAGCUACUGCCUUUAAUAAGCACAACGUGGGGGAGUUCUUUGAUAACCUCUCUAAAGUGAAGGACAGGUACAGCUUCCCUCCACACAUGAUGUACAACAUGGAUGAAACUGGUGUGACGACAGUGCAGACACCCAUUUAGAGAGAAUGAUGAAGGAGUCAUCCCUAGAGGUGAUGUGCUCAAGAAACUACCCACACCACAAAAACUUGGUGGUACAGCCAGAAGGGAGUAUAAAUUCACAUUCCCCUGCAGCAUUGACAAGUGGGAUGUUCAGUAGUAGGCCGAAUCUGUGAAGAGAUUCAGAUGCAGAUGAUUUGCUGCUCAUUUUUAAAGUGGCCUUUGAUGUUGUUAAAACUUUAAAUAAACAUUAAAUAAAUAAUUUUGUAUUGAA